AGAAACUAACAAGGAUUCCCCUAGUAACUGCGAGUGAAGCGGGAAAAGCUCAAAUUUGAAAUCUGGUAGUCUUUUUGUGGCUGCCCGAGUUGUAAUCUAGAGAAGCAUUUAUCCGCGCUGGACCGUGUACAAGUGUCUUGGAAUAGACCAUCAUAGAGGGUGAGAAUCCCGUCUUUGACCACGGACUACCAGGGCUUUUGUGAUGUGCUCUCAAAGAGUCGAGUUGUUUGGGAAUGCAGCUCUAAAUGGGUGGUAAAUUCCAUCUAAAGCUAAAUAAUGGCAAGAGACCGAUAGUGAACAAGUACCGUGAGGGAAAGAUGAAAAGAACUUUGGAAAGAGGGUUAAACAGUACGUGAAAUUGCUGAAAGGGAAACGCUUGAAGUCAGUCGCGUUGACUGGGGUUCAACUUUGCUUAUAAGCAUUGUUUACUUCCCAGUUGACGGGUCAGCAUCAGUUUUGACUCAAUGGAUAAAGGCUUAAGGGAAUGUGGCACCUCUGGGUGUGUUUAUAGCCCUUGGUCAUAUACAUUGGUUGGGACU
Molecule: ribosomal RNA, 539 nt
Filed under: Termitomyces sp.
Lineage: Eukaryota; Fungi; Basidiomycota; Agaricomycetes; Agaricales; Lyophyllaceae
Description: partial large subunit ribosomal RNA
Rfam family: Eukaryotic large subunit ribosomal RNA
Source: RNAcentral